Molecule: ribosomal RNA, 460 nt
Filed under: uncultured bacterium
Lineage: Bacteria
Description: partial 16S ribosomal RNA
Rfam family: Bacterial small subunit ribosomal RNA
Source: RNAcentral
CCUACGGGUGGCAGCAGUGAGGAAUAUUGGUCAAUGGGCGCGAGCCUGAACCAGCCAAGUAGCGUGAAGGAUGACUGCCCUACGGGUUGUAAACUUCUUUUAUAAAGGAAUAAUUUGAGGCACGUGUGCCUGUUUGUAUGUACUUUAUGAAUAAGGAUCGGCUAACUCCGUGCCAGCAGCCGCGGUAAUACGGAGGAUCCGAGCGUUAUCCGGAUUUAUUGGGUUUAAAGGGAGCGUAGAUGGGUUGUUAAGUCAGAUGUGAAAGUUUGAGGCUCAACCGUGAAAUUGCAAUUGAUACUGGCAGUCUUGAGUACAGUUGAGGUAGGCGGAAUUCGUGGUGUAGCGGUGAAAUGCUUAGAUAUCACGCAGAACUCCGAUUGCGAAGGCAGCUUACUAAACUGUUACUGACAUUGAGGCUCGAAAGUGUGGGGAGCAAACAGGAUUAGAUACCCCUGUAGUC